GAUGAACGCUAGCUACAGGCUUAACACAUGCAAGUCGAGGGACCGGCGCACGGGUGAGUAACACGUAUCCAACCUGCCCUUUACUCGGGGAUAGCCUUUCGACAGAAAGAUUAAUACCAGAAAUAAAGGAUGGGGAUGCGUUCCAUUAGGUUGUUGGUGAGGUAACGGCUCACAAAGCCGUCUAUGGAUAGGGGUUCUGAGAGGAAGGUCCCCCACAUUUGAACUGAGGCCCGGUCCAAACUGCUACGGGAGGCAGGGGUGAGGAAUAUUAGUCAAUGGGCGCUAGCCUGAACCAGCCAAGUAGCGUGAAGAAUGUAGGCUUAUGAGUCGUCAACUUCUUUUAUAUAAGAAGAUGUAUUAAAUGAAUAAGGAUCGGCUAACUCCGUGCCAGCAGCCGCGGUAAUUC
RNAcentral lists this ribosomal RNA (406 nucleotides) under uncultured bacterium. RNAcentral describes it as "partial 16S ribosomal RNA". It matches the Rfam family "Bacterial small subunit ribosomal RNA", at positions 28 to 526 of the family's 1533-position model. The record is from RNAcentral.